Mesocricetus auratus (golden hamster) is the source of this 4311-nucleotide long non-coding RNA. RefSeq lists it as uncharacterized. The transcript is spliced from 10 exons. The record is from RefSeq and is a predicted model, not a curated record. NCBI's taxonomy places the organism in Eukaryota, Metazoa, Chordata, Mammalia, Rodentia, Cricetidae.
UGAUUGGCUGGGCUCAGCUGUGUGGUGUUGCCUGAGUCACUCAUGUGACCACGUCAUGUGCCAACUUGACUGGAAGUGGAGGCGUGAGGGGAGCUCACCGGCACAGUUAGGACGUUGGCGCUGGCAGUCAGCUGUGUGAUCUGUUAUCACUCAGAGCUGGACCAUGGUGAAUAGUCUGCCAGACGACCAGUGCACAUCACCACCUGGGAGACAGACCGUGGGGAUGAAUGGGGUCUGCGCUAAGUGAGCAUUCGCCAUCUCCGUUAAGUGUCCUCUUUUCUUUCCUCAUUCCCUUUCCCCUCCCUCCUUUUGCUCCUUCCCCCCAGAGCAAUCCUGGUGUCUUGCCUGGACGCUCCAGACCUUCCUGUGGCUGUAAAUCCCUUUCACACUUCUGAGUUGUUUCAAAGUGAAUUUGGGAGGCGCAUCAGCCUUGCCUCUUGUCUAGACACAAUUUCAGUGGGCAGAGGAGCUGAGCCUGUCUGAGAUUCUCACUUGAGUCCACCUGGGCCCAUCUGCUGCUGCCAUAAAUCUCUAGGGAACUGAAAGUGACUGCCAGAAGGGGAUGCUGCAAGUCUUCCUGGCUGCCGGCUGCUCGGAACCGCUUCUGCCAGGCGUGUGAAUCGCUGACGCAGCAGAACCCACCGGGCCUCUGGGAGACACAGGGCAGGAUGUGGCUCUUGUCUGGUCCCAUCUGGAAAGUGAAGAUGCUGUCCUGUCCUGGAUGCUGUCCAGUCCACAGACACAGAACAAGGGGCUGAGCUCUGAGCUCCGAAAUUCUGUGCUGCUGGGUCUGUCUUUUGUAACGCAACAGAAGGGAGUUUUGUCUAGUUCUGUGCAUGUGAUCUAAGUCAUUUAAGAUCAAAGAUGUAGCAUUCUCCGCUCCUUCUCCAGAAUCAUGUCUACCUGCAUGAGGCCAUGUCACACCAUGAUGAUAAAGGACUAAGCCUCUCAACUAAGGACUUAAGGCUAGAUGACAUCAUGAACCCUGAUAAUGAGUUGGAAGAACGGCCAUCAGAUUGGGACAGACGGUUGGCAGCGGCAGUACAGGCCAAGUCAGGGCUGUGAAAUGACAGGAAGCCUACCAGUGUUGCUGAAGACUGGGGUGUAAGACGAGAUGAUGGAGAGACGGCCUUGCCAAGGAGCAUGAAGGAAGUUGGAAAUAAUGGACGCUCGUAUUCUGGCAACUGUUUAUGAGUAUACACGCUGGUGGUUUAAGUGACAGUGGCCGCCUUGUGCUCAUAUAUUUGAAUAUUUGCUCCCCAGAUGGCAGAACUGUUUGGGAAAGGUUAGAAAGGCCUUGUUGAAAAGGUGUGUCACUGGGGGUUGGGAUCUGAGGCUGCAACAGCCCACAUCGUUCCUGACGAGCUCGCCAUCUCUCUCUGCCUUGUGCUUGCGGAUCGAAUGUGAGCUCUCAGCUGCUGCUCCAGCGCCACGCCUGCUGCCUGCUGGUGCCACGAUGAAGAACCCUAAUGUUCUGGAACUGUGAGCAAGCUCCCAGAGUCAAAGGGAAGAGAUUGGAGGAAUUCCACAGAUCACUCUUCAACUGUCGACCUAGAUAUGAAACUGUUUCUUGAAGGAGACCUCCGGGUAGUUCCCAGAUGCUGGCUUUGCAGAGUGAAUUCUGAACUCUCUUUAGCUUCUUCCACUGGACAUCACCCCUGACAGGAUGCCUGUUGCUCCUCAGAAAGACUCCACGACACUGUGAAACUGGAACUGUGGGGGAAACUUGUCCUUGCAGUCUCCGAGAAAGUUCCCAAUCCUCAGUAGCUCUGCCGUGCAGCAUUGAAGAUAUAUGGUGGUCAUCUAGGCUAGGAGGGGACUUCCCUGAGUCUUCAACUGCUGUCCUGUAUUCCUCUUGAUCCCAGACGAACUGAGAAGUCAGUAAUCACCCACCCUUCCCUUCAUCCCCUGGCCCCACCCCUCCCCACCAUCCUACACUGUUUUUACCUGAAUUUCCUCCCACUUACCAUCUUGGAGCCUGGUAUUCCUCAGGGAAUGAUUUGUCCCGCCUCCUCUGCCCCUUUAACUCUGAAAUGCCCCUCUGGGUUUUGGUUGAAAGGUAACUUUCUCCAGGUGUCUCCUAGACCCCUGUCGAGUUGGCUGACCUAACCCUGUGUGUGGCACUCUUUAUUCACCCAGUGACACUCUCAGUAUAGUAUGUGCCUUUGGCUGGGUUAGGCCUCCUCCUGUGACAGGGGCUGGAUGCUCCGCUUUGUCCCCUGCAGGCUUAUGACUAAUGCUGCUUUGGAGUUUAGCCUACAAGCAGUUUGCGUGUGUCUGUCAAUUUAGUUUUUAAACAGGCAGUCCCAGAAAGAGGCAAAGGGCUACUCAUCAAAAGAUGAUAAGAUGUUGACUAGCACAAACAACUAAGUAGAUGAAAAGUGGAACAACCUUCAAGUUGACUUUUCAUCCUUUAGAUUCCCUAAAGUUUGUGGAGCGGUGAGGAGGCGGUGACCCCAGCAGGCUCUCUUGUGGCAGGGAUCCUUCAAGUCAACUUGACAAACUCUACAAAAGUUUAAGUGCACAGAGUCUCUGAUAAAUUGGCCCCUGGAAAGGUUUCUUACAAAUGGCUUGAGACACGUGCACAGAGAAGGACAACGUGAGUGUGUUUAGAAAAAAAAGAUGUGUGAACAACACAAGGGCCUAUCAGAGGGAGACUGAUAAACUGUGAGAGUCAAGUUAGAGGGAUGUUGUGACGGAAUUUUUCAAUGAAGUAUAUAUUUGCAUAUGUUUAUAUGAAACAUUCCUCAAAGCAGAGAAAAAUGUAUUUAUAUAUUUUCUAUUUUUUUUAAGACAGGGUCCAUGUUGGCCAGAAACUCACUAUGGAGUCAUACUGGUCUUGAAUUUUUGAUCCUCCUGCCUCAGCCUCCUGUGUGUUGAGACUACAAUGUUCACCACUAAGCCUAUGUUCAGUUGCGAUUUUAAAAAACAUACAUGUAUAUUUACAUACAUAGAAUAUCUCUGGAGAAAUCCACAGAAACUCUUAGUGGCAUGAAUUCUGGGGAGAGUGCCUGGAACCUGGAAUAGGAAACUCACAUGUGCUGUUGUGUUUGCACUUUUUAUUAAGGGCAUAAAUUUAGACUGCAAUGAUUACAAAAAGGAAACCAUAAUUUUGAAAACAUUAAUGAAAUGAACUAGGAAAUUUGAACCCAAGGUUCCAGAAAUUCCUCUUCCCUGCUUCGUUCCUUUUCUUUUUUUCUGUUCAUCAUCCCUAGUUUUCCCAGAAACCCGAUUACCCAGAAUCCUUUGGGCAUAAUACGUCCUUACAAGAUUAGACCGGUUAGUGCUACAGGAAGUUUGGAGAGCAGUGAGUGCUGGUGAGAGCUGACUUCUCUCCCUCCUCCAAGGCCUCCUCCCUCCCUCACCUCUUAGACUGCUCCUUCAUUGGCCAGGCUUGUCCUGGCUGGCUGUUGCACCUGCUUUCAGCUCCCUGCUUUCUGCCCCAGGUUUUCUUGACAGGGAUGUGUCUUCUCCUCCCCAUGCCUGAGAAAACCCAUACUGUCAUCUGGCUUUUCAGAAUCUUUCUGCUGUGACCUCUGGGUGGAGCUUCUGCGUGGUCUGCUAGAGGUGGGGUAGAGUUUUCAAGCCUGCUUCCCUUUGUGCCAGAUCAGUAGUUUACUCCCAAGUUGUAUUUUCUUCUUUAGGUUUUAUUUUCUUCUUUUCCUUUUUUCAUUCUUCUUGCUUUCUUACUACCCUUUCCUGAGAUCUUCACAGAAACUACCAGCCUGUGCUGGGUACACUUGUGUGAGACCCAGGCUAACAUACCUCCUUGCAGUUAACAUGGAGCCUAGCACCUUGUAGACCUAUAGACACCUCCCGUCACAGUUAACAUGGGGUUCUGGAGGCUGAGAUCAUAGUUUACUCAAAGAGAUAACAGUUGCCCCCAAGGGAGUUUCUUUCAGUUUUCUUGAAAUUGAAGCACCCCACUCCCCAUUCCCACCCCAUGCACCAUCUAGGUCCUUAUGUCUAUGUUUUGUCUUCCCUGUUAACACAAGGCUGGUAUGCUGUGCCUUGAAUUUUCAGACAUGGCCUCCUUCCCCAAUAUGUGGAAAUGCAACCUUAAUUGUGAUGAUUUGAGGAGCUGGUCUAUUGGGUGACUGAAUGGUGAUGUGCGGCACUAGUGAAUGGGAUUAAAGUCCUUAUAAAAGAGACCCCCAGAGAUCUUCCAGUUUUCCCCACCACGUGACCAUAGCAAGAAGCCAGCAUUUAUGAACCAAAAAACCUCUUAUUCACCAAAUCUAUCGGCAACUUGAUGGUGGAUAUUCCAGCUUUCGGAACUGUGAGGAAUAAACUUCUCUUAUUCAUGAGCUA